Molecule: ribosomal RNA, 523 nt
Filed under: uncultured bacterium
Lineage: Bacteria
Description: partial 16S ribosomal RNA
Rfam family: Bacterial small subunit ribosomal RNA
Source: RNAcentral
UGGGGAAUAUUGCACAAUGGGCGAAAGCCUGAUGCAGCAACGCCGCGUGAGUGAUGAAGGUCUUCGGAUUGUAAAGCUCUGUCUUUUGGGACGAUAAUGACGGUACCAAAGGAGGAAGCCACGGCUAACUACGUGCCAGCAGCCGCGGUAAUACGUAGGUGGCGAGCGUUGUCCGGAUUUACUGGGCGUAAAGGGUGCGUAGGCGGAUGUUUAAGUGAGAUGUGAAAUACCCGGGCUUAACUUGGGUGCUGCAUUUCAAACUGGAUAUCUAGAGUGCAGGAGAGGAGAAUGGAAUUCCUAGUGUAGCGGUGAAAUGCGUAGAGAUUAGGAAGAACACCAGUGGCGAAGGCGAUUCUCUGGACUGUAACUGACGCUGAGGCACGAAAGGCGUGGGUAGCAAACAGGAUUAGAUACCCUGGUAGUCCACGCCGUAAACGAUGAGUACUAGGUGUAGGAGGUAUCGACCCCUUCUGUGCCGCAGUAAACACAUUAAGUACUCCGCCUGGGAAGUACGAUCGCAAGA